RNAcentral lists this ribosomal RNA (553 nucleotides) under Arthrobacter sp. BL16. RNAcentral describes it as "bacterial SSU rRNA". It matches the Rfam family "Bacterial small subunit ribosomal RNA", at positions 78 to 643 of the family's 1533-position model. Lineage: Bacteria; Bacillati; Actinomycetota; Actinomycetes; Micrococcales; Micrococcaceae. The record is from RNAcentral.
GCUUGCACUGGGGAUUAGUGGCGAACGGGUGAGUAACACGUGAGUAACCUGCCCUUGACUCUGGGAUAAGCCUGGGAAACUGGGUCUAAUACCGGAUAUGACUCCUCAUCGCAUGGUGGGGGGUGGAAAGCUUUUGUGGUUUUGGAUGGACUCGCGGCCUAUCAGCUUGUUGGUGGGGUAAUGGCCUACCAAGGCGACGACGGGUAGCCGGCCUGAGAGGGUGACCGGCCACACUGGGACUGAGACACGGCCCAGACUCCUACGGGAGGCAGCAGUGGGGAAUAUUGCACAAUGGGCGGAAGCCUGAUGCAGCGACGCCGCGUGAGGGAUGACGGCCUUCGGGUUGUAAACCUCUUUCAGUAGGGAAGAAGCCGUAAGGUGACGGUACCUGCAGAAGAAGCGCCGGCUAACUACGUGCCAGCAGCCGCGGUAAUACGUAGGGCGCAAGCGUUAUCCGGAAUUAUUGGGCGUAAAGAGCUCGUAGGCGGUUUGUCGCGUCUGCUGUGAAAGACCGGGGCUCAACUCCGGUUCUGCAGUGGGUACGGGCAGACUA